GAAAAUCUACACACCUGCAAAGUCCCUUUUGCCAUAUCAUCGGAAGAAACAAAAACAAGCUGUGGUGAAGAAGAAACGUUUUCUAAAGCCUCUUUUAUCCCCAGGAUGGUUGAGAAGUCAGAGGCCUGCAAUGCUAGGAAGAGAGGAUCUAAAAUGUCCUUUUCACCGUGAUGUAAGUAGGCUCUCCAGCAGUCCCAGAAGACUUUCACAAGAGGAGUUUCAGACAACAGAAAAUAAGCCUAAGUGAUUGUGUGAAUAUCACAGAGCAACAGAGAAAAUGUGGAUCACUCCAACUCUAGCACAAGGUCGGGGAGGAAAAAAAAUCAGAGAGUUUGGAAUUUCUAAAUGCUCGUGUUUGAGAAAUGGGGAGCAUCACAAACUAACAGCAGAGGUGGACAUUUUUUACAGGGUAAAGGAUUCCCAUGGAACAGCACUCGUCAAAUGCAAAUAAAAAUUGUACAAAGAAGGUAACUUCUUUCUCUGUCCCCACAUCUCUCCAUCUGAAACUUCAUUCUUCCAUUAAAACAGAAUUGUGCUUUGUGAU
Molecule: non-coding RNA, 544 nt
Filed under: Pan troglodytes (chimpanzee)
Lineage: Eukaryota; Metazoa; Chordata; Mammalia; Primates; Hominidae
Source: RNAcentral